Molecule: long non-coding RNA, 392 nt
Organism: Vidua chalybeata
Lineage: Eukaryota; Metazoa; Chordata; Aves; Passeriformes; Viduidae
Exons: 3
Source: RefSeq, a predicted model, not a curated record
GGCAGACUAGUGGGACACAGUAAACAUCACUCACAGGUCAGUCACUGUGACUGCCUUUAAGACCAUAACAUAAGCAACGGCAGCACAAUGCCCCACGUGGGCCCAAUCAAGGCAGUGGCAAAGCUGGUUUCCAAAUAAAGAGGAAACAAACCCAGCCUUGUGAUCAGGUACAUGCCAUUGGCACAUCCCACGUAACUCCCUGUGAUGGAUGGGGCCACACUUGCUGCCAGCCCAUGACAGCACCCUGGGUCUAGGAGCUGCUGCUAGCUCCCUGUCCCUUCUGGAGACAACUUGCUUUUGCAGUGGGAAAGGCUAAGUGUUGAACACAGCAGUCUACACAUCUAUAUUCUUGUGACUGCCCUUAAGCUUACAGGCCUUUUAGAAGGGUGAAG